Molecule: small nuclear RNA, 296 nt
Filed under: Anolis carolinensis (green anole)
Lineage: Eukaryota; Metazoa; Chordata; Lepidosauria; Squamata; Anolidae
Description: 7SK RNA
Rfam family: 7SK RNA
About the family: 7SK was discovered as an abundant small nuclear RNA in the mid-70s but a possible function has only recently been suggested. Two independent studies have found that 7SK RNA binds the CDK9/cyclin T complex (known as elongation factor P-TEFb).
Source: Rfam by way of RNAcentral
GGAUGCGAGGGCAAUCUGCCGGUGACAUCUGUUGCCCCAUUGAUCACCAGGGUUGAUUCAACUGAUCUCUCCGGCUAAGUGGAAGUCGUCUUCCUCCCUCACUGCCCUGUAUCUGGUCUUACUCAAGCUGCAUGCUCUGUGGAAGACAGCAAUAAACAAAUAGCAGUAAUAAACAUAUAGCAGUCAAGGAUUUAUGAUACCUGCGUUCUCCUGCUAGAAACUCCAAACAAGCUCUAAGUUAAUUGCGGUGCUUUGUGCUGAAAUAGAUACAAGCACCUUCGCCUGCAGUUCUUGCU